This 31-nucleotide small RNA is filed under the name Arabidopsis thaliana (thale cress). RNAcentral describes it as "ATSL136150". Lineage: Eukaryota; Viridiplantae; Streptophyta; Magnoliopsida; Brassicales; Brassicaceae. The record is from RNAcentral.
AGAAAAAAAGAAGCAAAAAGAUGGACAACAA